This 997-nucleotide ribosomal RNA is filed under the name Sordariomycetes sp. genotype csw054. RNAcentral's name for it is "eukaryotic LSU rRNA". The stretch from base 477 to 997 matches the Rfam family "Eukaryotic large subunit ribosomal RNA", at positions 1 to 533 of the family's 3401-position model. The record is from RNAcentral. Lineage: Eukaryota; Fungi; Ascomycota; Sordariomycetes.
CAUUACCGAGUUUACAACUCCCAAACCCCUGUGAACAUACCAAUUGUUGCCUCGGCGGAUCAGCCCGCUCCCGGUAAAACGGGACGGCCCGCCAGAGGACCCCUAAACUCUGUUUCUAUAUGUAACUUCUGAGUAAAACCAUAAAUAAAUCAAAACUUUCAACAACGGAUCUCUUGGUUCUGGCAUCGAUGAAGAACGCAGCAAAAUGCGAUAAGUAAUGUGAAUUGCAGAAUUCAGUGAAUCAUCGAAUCUUUGAACGCACAUUGCGCCCGCCAGUAUUCUGGCGGGCAUGCCUGUUCGAGCGUCAUUUCAACCCUCAAGCCCCCGGGUUUGGUGUUGGGGAUCGGCGAGCCCUUGCGGCAAGCCGGCCCCGAAAUCUAGUGGCGGUCUCGCUGCAGCUUCCAUUGCGUAGUAGUAAAACCCUCGCAACUGGUACGCGGCGCGGCCAAGCCGUUAAACCCCCAACUUCUGAAUGUUGACCUCGGAUCAGGUAGGAAUACCCGCUGAACUUAAGCAUAUCAAUAAGCGGAGGAAAAGAAACCAACAGGGAUUGCCCUAGUAACGGCGAGUGAAGCGGCAACAGCUCAAAUUUGAAAUCUGGCUCUCGGGCCCGAGUUGUAAUUUGUAGAGGAUACUUUUGAUGCGGUGCCUUCCGAGUUCCCUGGAACGGGACGCCAUAGAGGGUGAGAGCCCCGUCUGGUUGGAUGCCAAAUCUCUGUAAAGUUCCUUCGACGAGUCGAGUAGUUUGGGAAUGCUGCUCUAAAUGGGAGGUAUAUGUCUUCUAAAGCUAAAUACCGGCCAGAGACCGAUAGCGCACAAGUAGAGUGAUCGAAAGAUGAAAAGCACUUUGAAAAGAGAGUUAAAAAGUACGUGAAAUUGUUGAAAGGGAAGCGUUUAUGACCAGACUUGGGCUUGGUUAAUCAUCUGGGGUUCUCCCCAGUGCACUUUUCCAGUCCAGGCCAGCAUCAGUUUUCCCCGGGGGAUAAAGACUUCGGGA